This 371-nucleotide ribosomal RNA is filed under the name uncultured bacterium. RNAcentral's name for it is "bacterial SSU rRNA". It matches the Rfam family "Bacterial small subunit ribosomal RNA", at positions 527 to 896 of the family's 1533-position model. The record is from RNAcentral.
GGAGGGGGCGAGCGUUAUUCGGAAUUAUUGGGCGUAAAGGGCGCGUAGGUGGCCCUGUAAGUCAAAGGUGAAAUCCCUCGGCUCAACCGAGGAAUUGCCCUUGAAACUGCAGGGCUUGAGGCCGGGAGGGGGUAGCGGAAUUCCCAGUGUAGCGGUGAAAUGCGUAGAUACUGGGAGGAACACCGGUGGCGAAGGCGGCUACCUGGACCGGUUCUGACACUGAUGCGCGAAAGCGUGGGUAGCAAACAGGAUUAGAUACCCUGGUAGUCCACGCUGUAAACGAUGGGUGCUCGGUGUCGCGGGUAUCGACCCCUGCGGUGCCUUAGCUAACGCGUUAAGCACCCCGCCUGGGGAGUACGGUCGCAAGGCUG